GAAAUAUAAAAUUUAGAAUUAAGCUUCUAACUUAAAUUCUUAGCAGUGAAAUUCUGUUAAUAUUUCU
This 67-nucleotide transfer RNA is filed under the name Curculionidae sp. BMNH 1039870. RNAcentral describes it as "tRNA-Ser". The record is from RNAcentral. Lineage: Eukaryota; Metazoa; Arthropoda; Insecta; Coleoptera; Curculionidae.